RNAcentral lists this ribosomal RNA (864 nucleotides) under uncultured bacterium. RNAcentral describes it as "bacterial SSU rRNA". It matches the Rfam family "Bacterial small subunit ribosomal RNA", at positions 1 to 864 of the family's 1533-position model. The record is from RNAcentral.
UAGAGUUUGCUUCUGGCUCAGGAUGAACGCUAGCUACAGGCUUAACACAUGCAAGUCGAGGGGCAGCAUGAACUUAGCUUGCUAAGUUUGAUGGCGACCGGCGCACGGGUGAGUAACACGUAUCCAACCUGCCGAUGACUCGGGGAUAGCCUUUCGAAAGAAAGAUUAAUACCCGAUGGCAUAGUUCUUCCGCAUGGUAGAACUAUUAAAGAAUUUCGGUCAUCGAUGGGGUUGCGUUCCAUUAGGCUGUUGGCGGGGUAACGGCCCACCAAGCCUUCGAUGGAUAGGGGUUCUGAGAGGAAGGUCCCCCACAUUGGAACUGAGACACGGUCCAAACUCCUACGGGAGGCAGCAGUGAGGAAUAUUGGUCAAUGGACGAGAGUCUGAACCAGCCAAGUAGCGUGAAGGAUGACUGCCCUAUGGGUUGUAAACUUCUUUUAUAUGGGAAUAAAGUGAGCCACGUGUGGCUUUUUGUAUGUACCAUACGAAUAAGGAUCGGCUAACUCCGUGCCAGCAGCCGCGGUAAUACGGAGGAUCCGAGCGUUAUCCGGAUUUAUUGGGUUUAAAGGGAGCGUAGGCGGACUAUUAAGUCAGCUGUGAAAGUUUGCGGCUCAACCGUAAAAUUGCAGUUGAUACUGGUCGUCUUGAGUGCAGUAGAGGUAGGCGGAAUUCGUGGUGUAGCGGUGAAAUGCUUAGAUAUCACGAAGAACUCCGAUUGCGAAGGCAGCUUACUGGACUGUAACUGACGCUGAUGCUCGAAAGUGUGGGUAUCAAACAGGAUUAGAUACCCUGGUAGUCCACACAGUAAACGAUGAAUACUCGCUGUUUGCGAUAUACGGCAAGCGGCCAAGCGAAAGCGUUAAG